GAUGAACGCUGGCGGCGUGCCUAAUACAUGCAAGUAGAACGCUGAAGGGGGAGCUUUGUUCCCUGGAUGAGUUGCGAACGGGUGAGUAACGCGUAUGGAACCUGCCUGGCAGCGGGGGAGAACUAUUGGAAACGACAGCGAAAAUCGCAUAAGAGAAGUUGUUGCACGAUAUUUGUUUGAAAGGUACAAUUGUACCACUACCAGUUGUAGCAGCGUUGUAUUAUCUGGUUGGUGGGGUAACGGCUCACCAAGGCGACGACACGUAGCCGACCUGAGGGGGUGAUUGGGCACACUGGGACCGAGACACGGCCCAGACUCCUACGGGAGGCAGCAGUAGGGAAACUCCGGCAAUGGACGGAAGUCUGACCGAGGAACGCCGCGGGAGUGGAGAAGGGUUUCGGAUCGUAAAGCUCUGUUGUAAGAGAAGAACGAGUGUGGGAGUGGAAAGUUCACACUGUGACGGUAUCUUACCAGAAAGGCACGGCUAACUACGUG
This 495-nucleotide ribosomal RNA is filed under the name uncultured bacterium. RNAcentral's name for it is "partial 16S ribosomal RNA". It matches the Rfam family "Bacterial small subunit ribosomal RNA", at positions 28 to 507 of the family's 1533-position model. The record is from RNAcentral.